CUCUCAGGGAAGCCAUGGAAAUAUUUCCUUCCUGGUCAUUCCUAGAAAAGUCAGAGAUUGAUGCUGCCUGAACCAGUUUGGCUCCCAUAUCCAUCCUUGAAUUCAUCCCAGGGACCAAGGCAAGGAAAUCAUAUUGGUGAGGUAGGCCAGGUUCCACACCCAGCCCUGAGACUAGGAGUAAAUUCAGCCCCACCUAAACCAUAGGGACAAAGGGUGAGAUGGAGGAAGCUCCCGGAGAAACACAGAAGAACUCCUAGCAGCAGAUGAAAAUGGCCCUAAAUAACAUCAAUGUAAACAAUAGUAACCAACAUUUGUUGAAUGUUUACUGUAUUCUGGGAUAAAUACUUUUCAUUAAUUACCUCAUUUGAUCCUUAUGAUAAUGAUGCAAUGUAUAUGUUCUUAUUUUUGUCCCCAUUUAAUAGUUGAGGUGCAGAGAGACUAAUUUGUCUGAGGUCGUGACUCCAGGAAAUGUCAGGGUCCAGAUCUGAACUCAAGUCAUCUGACUCAACAAUGCACACCUACUCUGGUGAGCUGAAUCACCCUAACCACCACCAGAGAUGCUCGGGUCCCAAUCCCUGCAACCUGUGAAUACAGUACCUUACCUGCCAAAAGGAAGUUUGUAGAUGUAACCAAGUAUCUUGAGAUGAGAAGACUAUCCUGGUCUGAGAAGGGCACAGGCAGCAUGUAUCCAAAACCAGAGGAAGCUAGAUGUCUCUGAAUUGAUUGAGAUUGUUUCUAAUUAUGGAUAGAGAUUUGUAUUCACUCAGUUAUAGAAAACAGAAACUUACUCAAGUUUGGAUAAGGAUAAAGGAGAAUUGGGGCGCCUGGGUGGCUCAGUCGGUUAAGUGUCCGACUUCAGCUCAGGUCAUGAUCUCAUGGUUUGGGAGUUCGAGUCCCGCGUCGGGCUCUGUGCUGACAGCUUGGAGCCUGGAGCCUGCUUCGGGUUCUGUGUCUCCCUCUCUCUCUGUUCCUCCCCUGCUCUCACUCUCUCAAAAAUACAUAAAGAUUAAAAAAUUUUU
This 1019-nucleotide long non-coding RNA is filed under the name Felis catus (domestic cat). Its description in RNAcentral is "lncRNA (ENSFCAG00000046929.1)". The record is from RNAcentral. Lineage: Eukaryota; Metazoa; Chordata; Mammalia; Carnivora; Felidae.